Small nuclear RNA from Cavia porcellus (domestic guinea pig), 162 nucleotides. Its record names the gene U1. It matches the Rfam family "U1 spliceosomal RNA". From Rfam's summary of the family: U1 is a small nuclear RNA (snRNA) component of the spliceosome (involved in pre-mRNA splicing). The record is from Ensembl. Lineage: Eukaryota; Metazoa; Chordata; Mammalia; Rodentia; Caviidae.
AUACUUACCCGGUAGGGGAGAUACCAUGAUCACAAAGGUGGUUUUCUCAGGGUGAAGCUCAUCCAUUGCACUGUGGAUGUGCUAACCCCCGUGAUUUCCCCACAUGUGGAAUAUGACUGCAUAAAUUGUGGUAGUGGGGGACUGUGUUUGUGCCUUCCUCUG